AGUCGAACGAUGAACCACUUCGGUGGGGAUUAGUGGCGAACGGGUGAGUAACACGUGGGCAAUCUGCCCUGCACUCUGGGACAAGCCCUGGAAACGGGGUCUAAUACCGGAUAAUAUCCUCCUCCGCAUGGUGGGGGUUUGAAAGCUCCGGCGGUGCAGGAUGAGCCCGCGGCCUAUCAGCUUGUUGGUGAGGUAGUGGCUCACCAAGGCGACGACGGGUAGCCGGCCUGAGAGGGCGACCGGCCACACUGGGACUGAGACACGGCCCAGACUCCUACGGGAGGCAGCAGUGGGGAAUAUUGCACAAUGGGCGAAAGCCUGAUGCAGCGACGCCGCGUGAGGGAUGACGGCCUUCGGGUUGUAAACCUCUUUCAGCAGGGAAGAAGCGAAAGUGACGGUACCUGCAGAAGAAGCGCCGGCUAACUACGUGCCAGCAGCCGCGGUAAUACGUAGGGCGCAAGCGUUGUCCGGAAUUAUUGGGCGUAAAGAGCUCGUAGGCGGCUUGUCGCGUCGGUUGUGAAAGCCCGGGGCUUAACCCCGGGUCUGCAGUCGAUACGGGCAGGCUAGAGUUCGGUAGGGGAGAUCGGAAUUCCUGGUGUAGCGGUGAAAUGCGCAGAUAUCA
Molecule: ribosomal RNA, 622 nt
Filed under: Streptomyces sp.
Lineage: Bacteria; Bacillati; Actinomycetota; Actinomycetes; Kitasatosporales; Streptomycetaceae
Description: bacterial SSU rRNA
Rfam family: Bacterial small subunit ribosomal RNA
Source: RNAcentral